UAUCAUUAUGCAGUCCUUUCACUUGAUCGCUCUAGAUACUUUCGGAGAUUGAUUAUGUAUAUAAAAUAGUUGCUUGCAUCUGGAAUCCUUGUGUGGGUGGUAUUAAUUUAUGUGGAUGCCUCGUGGGUAAGCCUCUAUGCCUCUCUCAAAGGCAUGGAGAUCGCCCUGUGAAAUGGGACCCUUCCACCUUCUCCUUCGAGCAGUGUCUCAUGAUAUUUCUCGUUUUGUGGGGUGGUGGAAUGCGGGCCUCAAUAUAUUGUUGUAAGUGCGGCUCUUUGAAAUUGGUUGCUGGUGUUAUGCCAUGCCUCCAUGCUCGAGUAGAUUUAUCCAAGUGAUAGUGCCCUUCACCUUGGUGCGACUCUGGUUCUUUCUCCUCUUGCCAUAUGAAAUGUAUGGUUGUGGGGGG
Molecule: unclassified non-coding RNA, 406 nt
Filed under: Cycnoches egertonianum
Lineage: Eukaryota; Viridiplantae; Streptophyta; Magnoliopsida; Asparagales; Orchidaceae
Description: partial external transcribed spacer
Source: RNAcentral